GAUAAACGCUGGCGGUGUGCAUAAGACAUGCAAGUCGAACGGGAGAAGACAGGAAGAUUUAUCUACUUGUUGGACACCGUGGCGGACGGGUGAGUAACACGUAAGCAACCUGCCUAUAAGAGGGGAAUAACAGUGAGAAAUUACUGAUAAUACCGCAUAAGCUGGAGGUAUCGCAUGAUACAUUCAGAAAAGAUUUAUCGCUUAUAGAUGGGCUUGCGUCUGAUUAGCUAGUUGGUGAGAUAACAGCUCACCAAGGCGACGAUCAGUAGCCGGAUUGAGAGGUUGAACGGCCACAUUGGGACUGAGACACGGCCCAGACUCCUACGGGAGGCAGCAGUCGGGAAUAUUGCACAAUGGAGGAAACUCUGAUGCAGUGACACCGCGUAUAGGAAGAAGGUCUUAGGAUUGUAAGCUAUUGUCGUGNGAGAAGAAA
This 433-nucleotide ribosomal RNA is filed under the name uncultured bacterium. Its description in RNAcentral is "bacterial SSU rRNA". It matches the Rfam family "Bacterial small subunit ribosomal RNA", at positions 28 to 450 of the family's 1533-position model. The record is from RNAcentral.